AGUGAACGCUGGCGGUAGGCCUAACACAUGCAAGUCGAACGGCAGCACAGUAAGGGCUUGCUCUUACGGGUGGCGAGUGGCGGACGGGUGAGGAAUACAUCGGAAUCUACUUUUUCGUGGGGGAUAACGUAGGGAAACUUACGCUAAUACCGCAUACGACCUACGGGUGAAAGCAGGGGAUCUUCGGACCUUGCGCGAUUGAAUGAGCCGACGUCGGAUUAGCUAGUUGGCGGGGUAAAGGCCCACCAAGGCGACGAUCCGUAGCUGGUCUGAGAGGAUGAUCAGCCACACUGGAACUGAGACACGGUCCAGACUCCUACGGGAGGCAGCAGUGGGGAAUAUUGGACAAUGGGCGCAAGCCUGAUCCAGCCAUACCGCGUGGGUGAAGAAGGCCUUCGGGUUGUAAAGCCCUUUUGUUGGGAAAGAAAAGCAGCAGGUUAAUACCCCGCUGUUCUGACGGUACCCAAAGAAUAAGCACCGGCUAACUUCGUG
RNAcentral lists this ribosomal RNA (492 nucleotides) under uncultured bacterium. Its description in RNAcentral is "partial 16S ribosomal RNA". It matches the Rfam family "Bacterial small subunit ribosomal RNA", at positions 29 to 507 of the family's 1533-position model. The record is from RNAcentral.